GAAGCUGGCCAGACAGUCGCCGCGCACGCAAGUGCGGGGAGGAAAGUCCGGGCUCCAUAGAGCAGAAUGCCGGUUAACGACCGGACACCGUGAGGUGAUGAACAGUGCCACAGAAAAUAAACUGCCCAAGUACCGCAAGCCCCCGCAAGGGGGGCGCCGAAUGACACUCGCCGCAAGGCGGCGGUCAUAACGCAGGUAACGGCGAGGGUGAAACGGCGGGGUAAGAGCCCACCGCGGACGUGGUAACACGGACGGCACGGUAAACUCCAUUCGGAGCAAGACCAAAUAAGCAGGCCAUGACGUUGCUCGCGUCGCUUGCGGGUAGGUUGCUUGAGCGUCAGGUAACGAAACGCCUAGAGGAAUGACUGUCCACGACAGAACCCGGCUUACCGGCUGGCUUCACCU
RNAcentral lists this RNase P RNA (405 nucleotides) under Candidatus Gallionella acididurans. RNAcentral's name for it is "Bacterial RNase P class A". It matches the Rfam family "Bacterial RNase P class A". From Rfam's summary of the family: Ribonuclease P (RNase P) is a ubiquitous endoribonuclease, found in archaea, bacteria and eukarya as well as chloroplasts and mitochondria. Its best characterised activity is the generation of mature 5'-ends of tRNAs by cleaving the 5'-leader elements of precursor-tRNAs. Lineage: Bacteria; Pseudomonadati; Pseudomonadota; Betaproteobacteria; Nitrosomonadales; Gallionellaceae. The record is from Rfam by way of RNAcentral.